This is a long non-coding RNA of Rhododendron vialii, 649 nucleotides long. RefSeq lists it as uncharacterized. Lineage: Eukaryota; Viridiplantae; Streptophyta; Magnoliopsida; Ericales; Ericaceae. The transcript is spliced from 2 exons. The record is from RefSeq and is a predicted model, not a curated record.
UGUUAUUUUGGGAGUGUUGUUGUGUUUGAACUUCCUGUGUGUUAUUCUUUGGCCAUUGUUUAGUUCCUUAUGAGCUUAUUAUUCUUGUGUUGAUCGUUCGUUGAACUCAUUACUAAUACGGUUAAGCGUGUGGUUAGGUAACGAGCUGAGUAAUCGGGAGGUGCCAAAACCGUAAAUUGGCAUACUUCGGUCGACUCACAGGUUUGUGGAGUGAGUCACACCUUGUCGUGGGCCGUGCCGUUCUAUUUACGGUGAAUGGGAGCUUGGUGUGCGGGACACAAUACCUUGGGUACAUGGGAUGUGGCAGACGUGUCACUGCAUGUGUUGUGAACAUAAAUUAUAGUUGUUCAGUUAGUUGUUUAUGUUGAGUUUUAUUGGAUUUAUUCUAUAUCUUACACACUCCUGAUUUUCUUUUGGAUUGCCAGAUAGCAAGGGUUUGUAGGAUGGUCCACUACCGGUCGGCGUUUUGGGAUUGGCUUUGAGGAUGUUGAUUGUGUCGGUGGUAGUGAGUUGUCUUGUAUAUAUAAUCGACUCGUUUUGUAAAGGAUGUUUUGCACUUUAGUUUGCCAAGUAUGUAAAGUUAUGGGUAUAACGUCGACUCUUUUAAAAAUAUUAAUGUUAAGUCUUCCGCUGGUUUAUUCUGAGUUAA